This 760-nucleotide small RNA is filed under the name Arabidopsis thaliana (thale cress). Its description in RNAcentral is "ATSL195650". Lineage: Eukaryota; Viridiplantae; Streptophyta; Magnoliopsida; Brassicales; Brassicaceae. The record is from RNAcentral.
UGUUUUAUAGAGAGAAAAUGAAGAGCACUUGUUCAAAUGGGUUGAUGAAGCUCUCUUGGACGAAAUUAAGAUGGUAAAUGAGAAGUGUAAGAGAGUUGUAGAGAAUAUUAGUGACCUCAGAAUGAACGUGAUGGCUAAUAUGGAGCUCCUUAAUAAAAACGCUAAGCAGAUGGAGGAAGAGCUGAUUAAGAAGAUGGAGGGUGAACUCUUGACCAUGAAGGAGAAUGUGGAAGAGCUAGGACAUGUUAUGGCAAAGUCAGCUUUGAAGACUGUAGGGGUUGCUGUUGUGAUUGUUGCAUCUAUUGUAUGGCUUUGGGGAAGAGUGUAGGUGUUGUUGAGGUUUUGGAGUGAAAUUGUAGUAUUGGAUUAGUCUCUGUUAUAAAAUUGUCGAAUGAAGAACCCUAAUCGACCAAAUCGAUUUUGCAGAAGAAGAAGAAUGAAAACGACGUCGUUUUCUUUCUCUUUUUGAUGAGUUAAACGAAAUGAAAACGACGUCGUUUUCUUAACGGGUCUGGGUAUUAGUCAGGUUAAUCGCAAUCGCGGUACAGUAAACGCAGAUUUGUGGUUAAUCCCGGUUAAAUGAAUGGUUCAAUUGGAAAUGUAUGUUUAAGCAUGAAUUCGAAAGUAGAUGAUGUAAUUUUGAGGAAUAUGAAAGUUGAUGGUGAAAAUUUAAGGGCCCAAAAGUCCGGGGGUGAAAGCUGAGAAUCGAAAUAGUUUAUGGCUCAAAAAUCAGCCACCCAAUUCUACUUCAGUGUUUUUU